GUGUUCUGAGGUGUGUGCUGUGGUAGGAGUGUUCCCCAAGUUUCCUUCUGCAGAGGAAUACGAAACUUGACCUCACUCCUCAGUGCUUUGAGGUCUUUAGAUUGGAAAUGCCAAGCACGCUUUGAGGCAGGGCUGGGACAGUGGUGGUGAACAAGUCAAAGGAGAUGUGUGCAGCUCUUGCUAAAUGCAAGGCUGGGAAUCUCAUGCCCCUCAGGCAGGAACCACUUUUUCACGGUGUGAUUCACGUUUGUGUGUUAUUUGUACAAUGCACAGUGAUAGCUGUGUGAUCUGUGAUAAGAUCAUAAUCCCUGGGAAGCCUUCUGUACCUCAGGUAAUAUAUAAGCCUGGCUUAUGAGCAGCAUCGGGUAUUACCUGACUCAGAAGUCAUGCACAACUUCUGUGAGGGUUGAAGAUGUACAUCCUGUAUCUCACAUGGUGUUUUUCCUAACAUCAGGCUGGAAUAAAAUGACCUUACCUUACAGAAUUAUGUUACUUAUUGUGCUGGCUUUCUCUCUAGCUUUGUGCUGUGGUCCAUUAGAGUAAGUAAAACUGGCUUCAGGAAACGGAGUUGUUUCCUCUGCCCUACAGGAACAGGAGGUUAUCUGCUUGAUAGAGGCUCCAAGGAAAG
Non-coding RNA from Coturnix japonica (Japanese quail), 628 nucleotides. The record is from RefSeq and is a predicted model, not a curated record. NCBI's taxonomy places the organism in Eukaryota, Metazoa, Chordata, Aves, Galliformes, Phasianidae.